Molecule: unclassified non-coding RNA, 3436 nt
Filed under: Leishmania donovani
Lineage: Eukaryota; Euglenozoa; Kinetoplastea; Trypanosomatida; Trypanosomatidae
Description: gene:LdHU3.10.0890(CDS-product:hypothetical_prote in_conserved)
Source: RNAcentral
GGUCCUCUCUCACUCUUCCUCGCUUAAAAGACUUCCCCACCUCCGCUGCAGAGGAGGGCGCUCACACACUCACAUAACUCCUCUCCCUGUCUCUGGCGCUGCAGCCAUUGAAGGACACGUGAGGGCGUGAGGUGCCGAGCGGCAACGGCGCCGUGUCUGGUGGGCCGUAUGCUAUUCCUGCUGCUCUCCUGUCAGUGUUUGUCUUUGCCCAGAGGAAUCGCAGCGCCAUGAGCACAUGCUCCGCAUCAUCCUUCAACGCUUAGCGGUGCAGCGCCGCAUUGCCGAGCAGCUGGAGGCGGUGCCGCUGGACGAGGUGCUGCGCCGCAUGCAGUCGAGCUCACUGACAAACCCCGCGCGCUCCCUCGAGGCCCACUUUGUAUUGGCCACAGAAAGCCGUGAUCAUGAGCGGGCUGCGCCAACAGCAGCCUCACCGUGCGCAGAGACCCUGAGGGAGCCUUCCGACGACCUGCUGCGCGACGCUCUCAGCGAGCGGCUGCUCGCCGAGGUGCGCCGAGAUCUCAGCUCGCCCACCAUCACCCUCGACGAUGGCGGCUUGAUGCUGGCCAACUGCCUACGACAUGGGCUUUCCCCUCUCGCCACCCAGCAGGUUUUUGCCCUCUGGCAACGGCGCAUGCAACACGCCACGAUUGGUGCGUCUUCCGCUGCAGCGCCCCGCACAUCCAUCUCGAUGCUUGGCAUGGGAAAGAGCAAAACCGCCUUCGCGCGCGCUGGUGGAGGCGCUGCCGGUGUGAGCGAUCUGGCACAGUUUCAGUCUCUCGUUCGCGUGAUGGAGGCGUGCCUUGAUGCUCAUGAUAAGCAGCAGCGGGAAUGCGGUCGCUCUCGGAAACGAACCUCCUCAGCAGCGGCAGCGGAUGCGCGGAAACUACAAUCGAAGAGCUCCAUCGCCUUCACCCUUGAUGACUUGGCGGCUCUGGUAGACACUGUGGAGCAGCACUGGAGGCUCUUUAUCGAUCACGGCACCUCGACGACAGGACUGCUCGUGCAGUUCACCGCGCUCGCUCUGGUGCUGACGGGGUGUGCUUCGUCGGCGGCAGCCGAGGCAGAGCCUGGGAGCAAAUUCGUGAACAGCCUGCGGCGGCUGAGUCACUUGCAGACGGAUCGUGCGCUGCUGCAGCAGCGCAUCUUCAGCCUAUGUGAUCGAGCGAUUGUGUCGCUGUGCUCUCAAGAAGAGGCUGCGGCAACAGGCGAUGGGGGCAUACCGUCUCGUCGAGAGAGUCCGUGGUGGUAUCGACCGCAGGAGCUGGUGCGUCUCUCGCAGGCGAUGCGGCUGAUUGAGGUCUACGAAGCGGAGCAGCAACGGGGCAGCAGGUACAGCAGCGGCACCGGAUCACCUGUCGAGCACUCCUUCCAUGGCGAAGGGGACGGACCACGCAGGCCAGGAAGCAGCGCCGCACGAACUUCGAGGAGGGACGCUGGCAAGACGAUGUCGAGUUCGUCAAACCCAGUACGGGGCACGCCGCCAAAUCGUGCCCAGACUGCGCCUGCGUUGCCCAAGGCCCGCUGGCUGCUUCGGCUGCCCACCACGUGGUGGCCCGCUUCUUCUGCAUCCCUCCAUGGGGCCCCUGCGGGCCAUCGAAAGACAGAGGCAGCUGUCCGGGCAAGGUGGCGGCUCGGUGCCUAUGUGACGCAUCACGCACUGCAGUAUACGUCUACAGUGACGCCGCCGCCGGUACCAUCGUAUGCAGUAUCGCCCGCCCUGGCGUCGAUCUCCCUUGCCGACGUCGAGGAUAUCUUCGCCGUGGUGUGCGCCACAGCGUCGUCUGUGGCCUCCACGGAGGCAGUGACCGCGUUCUCGUGGUGGGUGCGCGAUGUCUUCUUCCAGCCGCACCGACAUCGCAGUCUGCACGAUGUGCAGGAAAUGGCUGGGCUCCUUGGGAUCGCAGAGGUCUGCGUCGCGUACCCGGAUGGGACUCAGACGGUGCUCGCUGAAGUGCUCAAGUGUCUUCAGCGCUCUGCCCUCGUUUUGUGGUGCGUUGGUGACACGGCAGUGACUAGCGGACCCGACACGCCCGGGAUGCUGUGGUCACGCGCGUGCGAGGUCGUCGGCGAUGCACUGGCGCUCACGACUGUCCGCGCAGAGGCCCAACGCACGCUGCGAGCGCUGGCGCACACGGUAAGCCAGCACGCGUCCUCUUGUAUCGUGACAAGGAAGUCGAGCAGCGAGCUGGCGCGUCGGCAUCAGCGUUACGGCCUCUUGGUGCUCGCAUGCUUGCAGCUGCAGUCACCAGGCGGUACCAUCACACCGGCCCUGAAGCGGAUGAUUCUAGAGCUCGUUCUCUCUGCGCCGUUCCGCCGCGAUGAUGCUGAUCACGGGGGGCCGGCUGCGGUGGCGCGUGCGCUGUUCCUUUUCACGCGACCGGAACCGGCUCUUCGUGAGCCUGCAUCCACCCAAGGCGUGCCACGGUGGGAGCGAGUCAUUCGGCACCUUUUGAAUGAGCUGACACGGCUCGUCUCCCCGGCGGCUGCUGCGUUGGACGAUGGAGCGACCGCCGCAGUCGAGGAUGGCGGGGGCAGUGCGCAACUUCUGCAGCAGCUGACCUCAGCCGAGCGGCAAAUGCUGCGCUCCGCGCUGCAAGAGGUGCGGCUGCAGACGCAGCACGAGAUGAAGGAAAGGCCGCUGUGGGAACCCGUGGUAGCCCCCAGCGGCAGUGAAGCCUGUCCAGGUCAAGCAGCGCGUACGGCAUCCUUGCAGCUGCCCUUGUCGCUGCCAGUGACUGCGCAGGUUGGCGUUGUCAGCUCCGCGGAUGCCUCGACGCCGUCCUCCGAUCGACAAGCGGGUGCUGUAGAUGCAAAAAGCGGUCUGAGUCGGCUUCGCACCGAGUCCCACGAACGAACCCCUCGACAUCGCAUGCGCGCAUCCGAGGAACAUCUGCUGAUUCAGUCGGAGAUCGAUACCCUGACGCGCUAUCUCCGUCAGCGCCGCUCUCCCGGGUGAGCCACGGCGUCCUUUUCCACACCCCUUCUCUCGGGUGCGUUGCCCAAAUGGGCGAAGAGAAAACUCGAGCUGAUGUCGAUGUAUCCUCGUUUUGCUGUCAUGCGAAUGACCGCCUUCUCUCUGUCGCUGACGUUCCCUUUCCUUCCCCCGCUGGCCGAAGCCGCGGGUGCGAGUUUGUGUGUCGCGCACCGGAGUGUCCGGCUUUCCUCUUGCUGCUUCGACUUGCGUUCCCUCUUUCCGUUGCGUGUAGCUCCCUGCAGCAGUUCUCCAUCGCAAACGACGCGCGCAACGCACUGGCUGUGGGUCAACACCCCUUCGCACAUCACGACACGCACCCACAUAGUCGCAGGACAGCCACGCUGCCCUGCUGUGCGCGUGUGCAGAGGGGGAGGGCCCUUGUAAACGGGCUUCAUCCAUUGCCGUCUCGCGACAUAGCCUCUCUUCGGGGCGCGUCUCCGAGCGCUGGAAUGCGACUCCUAC